This 550-nucleotide small RNA is filed under the name Pan troglodytes (chimpanzee). Its description in RNAcentral is "processed transcript". Lineage: Eukaryota; Metazoa; Chordata; Mammalia; Primates; Hominidae. The record is from RNAcentral.
AGGCUUUCUCUUUUAGCCCCGCCUGCUUCCCGGCUCCAGCUGGGGCCGGAGAGGCUGAGUGGUUGGUACGCUGCUCGCUGGCCUCCCAGUCUUCCCAGCAACCGGUGACACUGCCCGCGCGAGACUGACCACUAGCCGACGCGGGCGAGAGGGACAGGAGCCAUGACCCUUUUGCCUGUGGGAUGAGCUCCAGCAUGGGGUGAGGUACAGAAGAGAGACUUGAAGAGCGUGCCUUGGGACUCAAGCGCCAAACCUGUACCCUAGCGAGUGUCCUACUCCGCAUCCGUAAUGGAAGGAAAUGCACAUCUUACUCCAGAGGCACAACAGGGGGACAUCCCAUGCGGCUACUCCUGCCCAGCGUGGUGGGGCAGCAGAAGCUCCAGAGCCCAGACUUGCAGGCUCACGGUGCAGGGUGAACCUGGCCACAGCUCACCCUGGAACAGCCACAAUGUCUGCCCCUUAGAGAAGAACCCUGAAAUCAGACCAGUUUUUGCAGCCUCCCCCUGUCCUCUCUGUUACAGUGCCCUUUCCAGGCCUUAAGUAAAACUUA